Molecule: long non-coding RNA, 2047 nt
Filed under: Homo sapiens (human)
Lineage: Eukaryota; Metazoa; Chordata; Mammalia; Primates; Hominidae
Description: PREDICTED lncRNA (TCONS_00182849)
Source: RNAcentral
GCCGGGGCGUCCCCCGCGGGAGCCCGCAGCCACCCGGGACGCGCAUCCAGACGUGGCGCUUCGGACCGGGCACGCUGCGCCCGGGGGCUCGGCGGACCCCGCGUAGCCGCCGCUUCGGAGCUUGUGCGGCGCGGGCUGGCCAGCGGGGCGGCCAGGGCCCGGCCCGCCUCCCCAGCGCCCGCCCGGCUUCUCCCCCUGGCGGUGGGAGCCUCGGCGGCCGCUGGCGACACUAGGCGCACUGAAGCCCGAGCCGAGCCGAGCCCGAGCCGCCGCCGCCGCCGCCGCUGCUGCGCACCGCUCCCGGGCUCCCUCCCAGCGCGCCGGCCGGGGUGUGGGGGGCGGCGGGCCGGAGGGGCGAGGGCGGGCCAGGGGGCGCACACGGGGGUUGGCGCGGAAGACAGGACCCUCAGCCUCGAGGGAGCCCCUAGGUGACCAGGCAAAAUGGCAGUUCCUUCCAGCUGGUCCUCAGAUGGGCACAUCUAUUAGCCUCUGCUCUUGUAAGAAGUUAGCUGCAGAACCCACAUGUGAAUCCUUGUAGGACUCUGGAGAAGAUCAAAUGGGAGCUUAGAUGUGGAAGCUCUUUGGAAACCAAGAAACACUCUGAAAAUGAAAAGGAUACCAACUUCAUCUCUCUUUAAGAAUACAAUAUUAGUUUAAAAGAUUGUUCAACUUAAAGCAAUCUUGUAGAGAUUGUCACCCAUGAUUGAUGCUGGCAUAAGAAUGUUUAUCACAGCAUGGCAUAUAUUGGAAGUUUAGUAAAUGAAGAUACAUCCAAUCUGACAUUCUAUUCACAACCACAAAGAGAUAAUGUAGAAACAUAUUUAGUAAUGUGAGAAAAUACUAAAUAUUAAGUGAAAAAGGUGGAAGAGUAAACUGUUCCUGUUUCUCCAUCUUGACAGGAAGCAGAAGUUCUCCUUAGCUGAUUUUUCUUCUUGCCUUAUACUGGGUUCUUUAACACCAGAACAAAAAUAAAUAAAUAAAAGAAUCUUCCAGAAAUUCAUGAAGAGACUUCAGGUCAGGAAAGCCUGAACUUUCUCAUCCAACACCCGUUCAAGUCGGAGGAUGCUGAUUAAUUCAUGAUGGAAAGGUAUCAAUUUCACAGCCCAGACCUCUACAUUCUUGAAAUGCUCUUCUCAUGGGAGACAUUAAAUAAGCUUUGAAUUAACUGAAUGUACAGGGUGUACCAUGAACAAUUCUGACAUGUGAUUUAAUCUAUGUGGGACUACAUUUUAAAUACAUUUGGGAAGGAUUGAACAAUGAAGUGGAGCCCAUCAAUAUUGGUACUGAAAAUGAGACAGCUCUGAAGUAAGCCCUUAAGUAAAAGUGCCAUCAAAUGAUUUCUCAGAAAUUAUAAAGAAACAAAAGGACCAUAAACAAGAUAAGGUGGCAUGAGGAAACAUUACAAGUACCUUUCAGAGCUGACUGGCAAAGAAACUCCUGAGGUGACGGUUCUACCCCAAUAUUACUUCUUCGAAGAGCAACCUAACUGGACUUAUCUUCCUCAGUUCUCUGUGAUGAACUUUUGUAGAGCCAUACGAAAGGAGGUUUUUAGCUCUCACCUGUGGUCUUUCUUCAUCAUGCACCUCCUAGAUUCAAAAGUUCAGCAGGGACAUGUCAAGCUAUAUAAAUAAAAACAAACUAAGAAAAAAUGUAACAUUCCAUACCUUAAAACGCAACCUUAAUAACGUGAAAGACCCUGAAGGACUUGAGACGUGAAGAUUUUCUACCACGGUCUUUGCCUGUAUUAUUUCUGACAGCUGUUCCUUUCUACUCCCUCUUGCACACAUCUUUAGUUACUCCCUGUUCUCCAUCCCUCUGAUAAAAUCUAGAGUUCCCCCCUCAAAUUAGAAAAUUAAAAAAAAUUAAAAAUCUAAAAUUAAAAUUUAAAAAAUUUUUAAAAAUCUAGAGUUUAAAAAAAAUGUUCUAUCUCAGGCUUGUGAACCAUAUUGUUAGUUCACAAUUAAGAAUGAUGUACAUCUAUUGGACAAGUUUUAAUUAAUUCUUUCCCUUGGCUGAUUAGUAAAUUUCUGCAGUGAGUACAAAUGUU